UUGCGCACCGUCUCAUGGACUGUAACCACCGUAUACUGCAGUAAGUAUAUCGCGAACCAUCGUUCCAUCUACAGUCCGUCUGACACGACUCAGACCACCCCGAACACACCAUCGCUCGGCUCUAGAAUAGUCGGAUCAGAAUCCGAACGAUCCUUUCCGGCGAUCUCCGACUCUCUCCAUCAGUUUUCUCCUCUCUCCCUCUCUUCUGUUCUGUCUCUCCCACUGUGUAGCGUAGAGAUCCCCUUUUCUUUCCGCGGAAAUCCCAUUAAAAGAGGCUGGGCGGUUACUCAGACGCACAUAACCGCCUCCCCCCAACCGCCCUAACCAUCCCCGCGCUCCUUUUCCCCUUUC
RNAcentral lists this long non-coding RNA (351 nucleotides) under Brassica napus (rape). RNAcentral's name for it is "long non-coding RNA (BNAP_LNC019393)". Lineage: Eukaryota; Viridiplantae; Streptophyta; Magnoliopsida; Brassicales; Brassicaceae. The record is from RNAcentral.